GAUGAACGCUAGCGGCAGGCUUAACACAUGCAAGUCGAGGGGCAUCGAGAGUAGCAAUACUUGUCGGCGACCGGCGCAAGGGUGCGUAACACGUGAGCAACAUACCCGUUUCAGGAGGAUAACCGGAGGAAACUCUGCCUAAUACUCCAUGACAUCAUCAAACGGCAUCGUUUGAUGAUUAAAGAUUUAUCGGAAACGGCUUGGCUCGCGGGACAUUAGCUCGUUGGUGAGGUAACGGCUCACCAAGGCCACGAUGUCUAGGGGUUCUGAGAGGAAGGUCCCCCACACUGGAACUGAGACACGGUCCAGACUCCUACGGGAGGCAGCAGUGAGGAAUAUUGGACAAUGGUCGGAAGACUGAUCCAGCCAUGCCGCGUGAAGGUUACUGUCCUAUGGAUAUUAAACUUCUUUUGUAUGAGAGCAAUAAGGUGCACGCGUGCACCGAUGAGAGUAUCAUACGAAUAAGCAUCGGCUAAC
RNAcentral lists this ribosomal RNA (477 nucleotides) under uncultured bacterium. RNAcentral's name for it is "bacterial SSU rRNA". It matches the Rfam family "Bacterial small subunit ribosomal RNA", at positions 28 to 501 of the family's 1533-position model. The record is from RNAcentral.